UAGUCCACGCCGUAAACGAUGUCAACUAGCCGUUGGGAGCAAUUAAGCUCUUAGUGGCGCAGCUAACGCGAUAAGUUGACCGCCUGGGGAGUACGCCGGCAACGGUAAAACUCAAAUGAAUUGACGGGGGCCCGCACAAGCGGUGGAGCAUGUGGUUUAAUUCGAUGCAACGCGAAAAACCUUACCUACCCUUGACAUCCUCAGAACUUGUUAGAGAUAACUUGGUGCCUUCGGGAACUGAGUGACAGGUGCUGCAUGGCUGUCGUCAGCUCGUGUCGUGAGGUGUUGGGUUAAGUCCCGCAACGAGCGCAACCCCUAUUGUUAGUUACCAGCACGUUAAGGUGGGGACUCUAGCAAGACUGCCGGCGUAAGCCGCGAGGAAGGUGGGGACGACGUCAAAUCAUCAUGGCCUUUAUGCCCAGGGCUACACACGUGCUACAAUGGUGCAUACAGAGGGUAGCGAAGCCGCGAGGUGGAGCCAAUCUCAUAAAGCCUAUCCCAGUUCGGAUU
Molecule: ribosomal RNA, 510 nt
Filed under: uncultured bacterium
Lineage: Bacteria
Description: bacterial SSU rRNA
Rfam family: Bacterial small subunit ribosomal RNA
Source: RNAcentral